Molecule: long non-coding RNA, 893 nt
Filed under: Medicago truncatula (barrel medic)
Lineage: Eukaryota; Viridiplantae; Streptophyta; Magnoliopsida; Fabales; Fabaceae
Description: lncRNA gene37593
Source: RNAcentral
GUUCAUUUUGCUUCAUUCCAUGCCUUAUUUGAGGCCAACACACAAAAUAAACAGCUCUUUUCACACCUAGACACCUCUCAAAAGAAAAAUGAUGUGAAGGAGGUGUACAAAAAUAAAAGGAAAUAAAAAUGUGAUAGAUAAUAAUAUGGUAAAAGGUGAAAAGCUUCUUACCAAAAAAGGGGAAAAAAAUAGAGCAUAAAAAUGUCAUGGAAAAAAGAUAAAAACAUACGUAAAAAAUGAUUUGACACCCUUGGUUGGAAAUUUUGCUCAACUAAUGCGAUAGAGUUAAAUUUGUUUGGACACUUGACGUGGGUUUAACAAACUCACUCACAUGUUCAAUUCAGAGUUUGUAGUUCGUGAUGAAAAAGGAAUCUAACGUACUGAUUUUGUGGAUUUUGUUGGCCUUCCAAUAUUUUUGCACCGAAAAAAAGUUCUUCAAAAGUUAUCUAAUUAAUGAUAGUGUACUUUUUUGAACAUCUUGAUCACACCAUAUUGAUGAAAUCGGUGUUGUUGUUAUUGCCUGUGUCACACACCAAUAAAUGUGUUCGACAUUGAACACAUGUUCAAUCUAAAAUAUCAAUGCGACAUAGCUUGUAAUAACAAACAAAGACAGAUUAGAGGGCUUCAUAUAUUACACAUACUAGUUGCUACUACAUGCAUGUUUUUGUUUCUAAUUGGUGAAAUACUACAUUUUAUUUGCUUGUAUUCAAGAGAGGAUUUAGUUUCCUUAAACAAAUAUGAAUUGGAUGAAUCCUGUUUGUAGAAAGCAAAUUCUAGGGUAAUCAUUUGAAAAAAUAUGUAUCUAUGUCGAAUCAGUGUCGAACACUAACAUGUGUCAGAAGCCGAACAUACCUUCAAUCUAAAAUGUAUGUGCUACAUAGCUUAUAACAAAC